AGGCAACAAGCUGUUCCAGGAGCUCGUGUAAUAUUUACUGAUGGCUCAGCUAAAGGCCUUUGUGUUUUACAGAUCUUAGCCCUGCUAAUGGAAGGAACUGCUUGCAAUGGGUAUCCAGCUCCCCAACAUCAUUUUUACACACAGAAGAUCAUGAAGAUUGCGGGACUGCUCAUAACUCCCCCUGGUGGUACAUUAGCAAGGCACUGAAUUAGAAGUGGGUCAUCUGGCACACAAACUAGCAUUUAUACGGGAUGCCAGUGUUGUGGGUGAUGACUUGAGCUACUAUUCUACAACCAUGGACACGCUUCAUGAUCUUAAAUGAACAUCUUUGUUUCUUCCCAAAGGAAAUAACAGCCCCUGUGUUCACAUGAGGAGAUAGUUGCAGAGAAAUCUUUCACUUCCUGGUUCCUUCCUCAAGUGCCUGAGACAGCCAAAACUGGAAUCUAGGCAUUUCAUCUAUAUUUCCCACAUGGAUGUGAGGGGCUGGAG
Long non-coding RNA from Ochotona princeps (American pika), 489 nucleotides. RefSeq lists it as uncharacterized. NCBI's taxonomy places the organism in Eukaryota, Metazoa, Chordata, Mammalia, Lagomorpha, Ochotonidae. The transcript is spliced from 4 exons. The record is from RefSeq and is a predicted model, not a curated record.